GACGAACGCUGGCGGCGCGCCUAACACAUGCAAGUCGAACGGGGCUUACUGGAUGAAGUUUUCGGAUGGAUGAAAGUAAGCUUAGUGGCGGACGGGUGAGUAACACGUGAGCAACCUGCCUUCCAGUGGGGAAUAACGUUUGGAAACGAACGCUAAUACCGCAUAACACAGAGAGACGGCAUACGUUUUUCUGUCAAAGAUUUAUCGCUGGAAGAUGGGCUCGCGUCCGAUUAGAUAGUUGGCGGGGUAACGGCCCACCAAGUCGACGAUCGGUAGCCGGACCGAGAGGUUGAACGGCCACACUGGGACUGAGACACGGCCCAA
This 324-nucleotide ribosomal RNA is filed under the name uncultured bacterium. Its description in RNAcentral is "bacterial SSU rRNA". It matches the Rfam family "Bacterial small subunit ribosomal RNA", at positions 28 to 334 of the family's 1533-position model. The record is from RNAcentral.